Molecule: ribosomal RNA, 477 nt
Filed under: uncultured bacterium
Lineage: Bacteria
Description: bacterial SSU rRNA
Rfam family: Bacterial small subunit ribosomal RNA
Source: RNAcentral
UUCGCAAUGCCCGAAAGGGUGACGAAGCGACGCCGCGUGUGGGAAGAAGGCCUUCGGGUUGUAAACCACUGUCGGGAGUUAAGAAAUGCAAGGAUAUUAAUAGUGUCUUUGUUUGACUAAGGCUCCGGAGGAAGCCACGGCUAACUCUGUGCCAGCAGCCGCGGUAAUACAGAGGCGGCAAGCGUUGUUCGGAAUUAUUGGGCGUAAAGAGCACGUAGGCGGCUAUGUAAGUCGGUUGUGAAAGCCUUCCGCUCAACGGAAGAACAGCAUCCGAUACUACAUGGCUUGAGUGCGGGAGGGGAGAGUGGAACUUCUGGUGGAGCGGUGAAAUGCGUAAAUAUCAGAAGGAACGCCGGCGGCGAAAGCGGCUCUCUGGCCCAUAACUGACGCUGAGUGUGCGAAAGCUAGGGGAGCAAACGGGAUUAGAUACCCCGGUAGUCCUAGCCGUAAACGAUGGGCACUAAGUAGAGGGGUUUU